GAUGAACGCUGGCUACAGGCUUAACACAUGCAAGUCGAGGGGAAACGGCAUUGAGUGCUUGCACUGAAUGGACGUCGACCGGCGCACGGGUGAGUAACGCGUAUCCAACCUUCCCGUUACUGCGGGAUGGCCUGCCGAAAGGCAGACUAAUACCGCAUGUUCUUCGAUGACGGCAUCAGAUUCGAAGCAAAGAUCCGUCGGUAACGGAGGGGGAUGCGUCUGAUUAGCUAGUUGGCGGGGCGACGGCCCACCAAGGCGACGAUCAGUAGGGGUUCUGAGAGGAAGGUCCCACACAUUGGAACUGAGACACGGUCCAAACUCCUGCGGGAGGCAGCAGUGAGGAAUAUUGGUCAAUGGGCGGAAGCCUGAACCAGCCAAGUAGCGUGCAGGAUGACGGCCCUACGGGUUGUAAACUGCUUUUAUGCGGGGAUAAAGUGAGGGACGCGUCCCUUUUUGCAGGUACCGCAUGAAUAAGGACCGGCUAAUUCCGCG
This 492-nucleotide ribosomal RNA is filed under the name uncultured bacterium. RNAcentral's name for it is "partial 16S ribosomal RNA". It matches the Rfam family "Bacterial small subunit ribosomal RNA", at positions 28 to 507 of the family's 1533-position model. The record is from RNAcentral.